AUCCGUCGAUUUUAGAAAUCGUGAGGGUUCAAGUCCC
RNAcentral lists this transfer RNA (37 nucleotides) under Codonopsis argentea. RNAcentral describes it as "partial tRNA-Leu". Lineage: Eukaryota; Viridiplantae; Streptophyta; Magnoliopsida; Asterales; Campanulaceae. The record is from RNAcentral. RNAcentral also lists the same sequence under 1 other name.